RNAcentral lists this ribosomal RNA (543 nucleotides) under uncultured bacterium. Its description in RNAcentral is "bacterial SSU rRNA". It matches the Rfam family "Bacterial small subunit ribosomal RNA", at positions 777 to 1320 of the family's 1533-position model. The record is from RNAcentral.
AAUAGACUACCCGGGUAGUCCACGCCGUAAACUAUGAUUACUCGAUGUCGGCGAUAUACUGUCGGUGUCCAAGCGAAAGUAAUAAGUAAUCCACCUGGGGAGUACGAUCGCAAGGUUGAAACUCAAAGGAAUUGACGGGGGCCCGCACAAGCGGUGGAGCAUGUGGUUUAAUUCGAUGAUACGCGAGGAACCUUACCUGGGCUUGAAUGCAUUAUGACCGUCCCGGAAACGGGACUUUCUUCGGACAGAAUGCAAGGUGCUGCAUGGUUGUCGUCAGCUCGUGCUGUGAGGUGUCGGGUUAAGUCCCAUAACGAGCGCAACCCCUAUUCUUAGUUGCCUAGCGGGUUAAUGCCGGGGACUCCUAAGGAAAACUGGCCCGCGUAAGCGGUGAGGAAGGUGGGGAUGACGUCAAAUCAUCACGGCCCUUACGUCCAGGGCUACACACGUGCUACAAUGGUCAGUACAAAGGGCAGCUACCUGGUGACAGGAUGCUAAUCUCGAAAACUGAUCUCAGUUCGGAUCGAAGUCUGCAACUCGACUUCG